ACUGGGCAUGAUGGCAUGUGCCUGUAGUUCCAGCUACUCAGGAGGCUAAGGAAGGAUCCCUUGAGCCCAGGAGUUCUGGGCUGUGGUGUGCUGUCGUUCAGUUGUCUACAAUACGCUUUGCUUCCUGGGUUCGGGGGACCACCAAGUUGCCUAAGCAGGGGUGAACCGGCACAAGUCAGAAACUCCCAUUAAAACAGGUUAAAACCCCCAUGCUGAUCAGUAGUGAGAUUGCACCUGUGAAUAGCCACUGCACUUCAGCCUGGGCAACAUAGUGAAACCCCACCUGU
This is an unclassified non-coding RNA of Cebus imitator (Panamanian white-faced capuchin), 287 nucleotides long. It matches the Rfam family "Metazoan signal recognition particle RNA". Rfam says of the family: The signal recognition particle (SRP) is a universally conserved ribonucleoprotein. Lineage: Eukaryota; Metazoa; Chordata; Mammalia; Primates; Cebidae. The record is from Ensembl.